Small nuclear RNA from Rhopalosiphum padi (bird cherry-oat aphid), 140 nucleotides. RefSeq annotates it as U4 spliceosomal RNA. The transcript has a single exon. NCBI's taxonomy places the organism in Eukaryota, Metazoa, Arthropoda, Insecta, Hemiptera, Aphididae. The record is from RefSeq and is a predicted model, not a curated record.
AGCUUUGCGCAGUGGCGAUAUCGUAACCAAUGAGGUUUAUCCGAGGUGCGAUUAUUGCUAGUUGAAAACUUUAACCAAUACCCCGCCGUGUGGACAUGAAACACUGUCCGCUCAGGCAAUUUUUAAAGGCCCUAACGGGC